This 230-nucleotide ribosomal RNA is filed under the name uncultured bacterium. Its description in RNAcentral is "partial 16S ribosomal RNA". It matches the Rfam family "Bacterial small subunit ribosomal RNA", at positions 561 to 790 of the family's 1533-position model. The record is from RNAcentral.
UAAAGGGUGCGUAGGCGGCCUGUUAAGUCAGGGGUGAAAGACGGUAGCUCAACUAUCGCAGUGCCCUUGAUACUGAUGGGCUUGAAUUGACUAGAGGUAGGCGGAAUGUGACAAGUAGCGGUGAAAUGCAUAGAUAUGUCACAGAACACCGAUUGCGAAGGCAGCUUACUAUGGUCUUAUUGACGCUGAGGCACGAAAGCGUGGGGAUCAAACAGGAUUAGAUACCCAGU